This is a long non-coding RNA of Rhododendron vialii, 502 nucleotides long. RefSeq lists it as uncharacterized. Lineage: Eukaryota; Viridiplantae; Streptophyta; Magnoliopsida; Ericales; Ericaceae. The transcript has 3 exons. The record is from RefSeq and is a predicted model, not a curated record.
AUAGAAGACAAAUGCGAAAAUCAUAUGAACGAUGUAUAUAAUAUUUUAUUUUCGGUGAUUCCGUGAUGUACGUUUUACAACCUAGAAAUAGAAAAAUGAAUGUUGGCUGGUUUUGAUUUCGGUGAUUUCGUACAAAAGUUAUGAUUUUGCUCUUCAUUUGAAAAAUGCCUUAAUGGGUGCUGAUCAAAAAAAAAAUUAAUGCCUUAAUGGGUGUAAAUUAAGAGUAUAGUUAUAAGGGAAAAUAAAAAAAUUAUCAAUCAAAUAAAAUCACUCAAAAAAUCAUUCCUUUUAGAAACCAAAAUACCAGGAAGAGAUCUAAAAAAAUGCCUUAAUGGGUGCCGAUCAAAAAAAAUUGAUGCUUUAAUGGGAGGUUUUUAAUACAAUGCCUUAAUGGGAGUAAAUCAAGAGUAUAGCUAUAACGGAAAAUAAAAAAAUUACCAAUCAAAUAAAAUCACUCAAAAAAUCAUUCCUUUUAGAAACCAAUAUACCAGGAAGAGAUUUU